Long non-coding RNA from Asparagus officinalis (garden asparagus), 807 nucleotides. RefSeq lists it as uncharacterized. The transcript is spliced from 2 exons. NCBI's taxonomy places the organism in Eukaryota, Viridiplantae, Streptophyta, Magnoliopsida, Asparagales, Asparagaceae. The record is from RefSeq and is a predicted model, not a curated record.
CGAAACACGUAGUACGUGACUCCUCCCAAAAUAUUAUUAAAUAAUAAAUACCCCUCUCCCUCUCCCUGCCUUCUCUGCUCUCUCGCCCUUCUCCUCCUCAUUUUUCUUUCCCCUCACCAUAAUCGAUCUCAUUUCUCUAUUACAACAUUUCUCCACACAGAAUCACCUCGUCUCUGUCCCAAUUGGGGUCCCACUUCGCGACCGGAGUCUCAGAAACGGAGUCGGAGCCCUAACCCGCACCCGAGUUCCAGAAACUUCCGGCAAUGCAGGUAAAGUUUCAAGAUCAAAUCUCCACUCUCCCGCCUCCUAUAUAAAUCACCAUCUCCCGAGUUCCCUUUUUCUAUUCAUUUUACCCCCCAAAAAUUCUUCAAAAUGUAAGGGGGGAAAAGAGUAAAUUUCUGUAAUUUUCCGCGAAUUUCACGAAGCUAACGAAUCGAUUUAGUGUUUUUAGCUCGAUCGUCGCAGGAACGAUGGAAACUGUUCUUGCUUCCAUGACGAUCGUUCAGAAGCGGAAGCUGGUUUUUGCAAUUUGGGGGUAGUUUUAAGUCCUCUUUUCAAGAAAUCUGGCUCGUGAUUUUUCUUUGUUUCUGUAGAGGACAAGUAUAAUUGCUGUACAAUUUUCCCCCCUUCAAAUUGCAGCACAAUUUUUGCCCCCUUUAAAUUGCAGCAAAUGAGGUUAUUGGUCCAUGCAAUCUUAGCCUCAUUGAAGCGAAGCCAUAUAUGUUUUAGCAUAAUGCCUAACCAAUGACAAUAGAGGAGUAUUAAUUGCGAUAUUACUUGGCAAAUUGUAAUAAGUCGUUAUCUUUA